AUGGAGAUUGCGGCUGAGUGCGAGCACCACAUGGAGCCGGUGCUGGUGGCACCGAGCCAGCCGACGCCGGGGCACACCCUCUACCUCUCCAACCUCGACGACCAGUGCCUCCUCCGCUUCUCCGUCGAGUUCCUCUUCGUGUUUGCGGGUGCGGUCGACGUCGACGCCCUUAGGACGGCGCUGUCCAGGGUCCUCGUCGACUACUACCCACUCGCCGGCAGGCUCGGGCCCGGGGACGACGGCAAGCUUGUCGUCAGGGCCGGCCCUGUGUUUUGGGAGACCCUAGGCGAACUCGGCGACAUGAGCCCCUAUGUCGUAAGAUCAUAUAUAUGUAUGUGUGCGUGUGAUACAUAA
This 354-nucleotide ribosomal RNA is filed under the name Triticum aestivum (bread wheat). RNAcentral describes it as "partial small subunit ribosomal RNA". The record is from RNAcentral. Lineage: Eukaryota; Viridiplantae; Streptophyta; Magnoliopsida; Poales; Poaceae.